CCAAUAGCGUAUAUUAAAGUUGUUGCAGUUAAAAAGCUCGUAGUUGAAUUUCAGGCCUGGCUGGACGGUCCGCCUUUUGGGUGAGUACUGUCUGUGGUCGGGUCCUACCUUCUGGCGAAGCGUCAUGGCCUUAACCGGCCGUGGCGGGGAACCAGGACUUUUACUGUGAAAAAAUUAGAGUGUUCAAAGCAGGCAAUCGCUUGAAUACAUUAGCAUGGAAUAAUGGAAUAGGACAAUGGUUCUAUUUGUUGGUUUCUAGGACCGUUGUAAUGAUUAAUAGGGAUAGUUGGGGGCAUUAGUAUUCAAUUGUCAGAGGUGAAAUUCUUGGAUUUAUUGAAGACUAACUACUGCGAAAGCAUUUGCCAAGGAUGUUUUCAUUAAUCAAGAACGAAAGUUAGGGGAUCGAAGACGAUCAGAUACCGUCGUAGUCUUAACCAUAAACUAUGCCGACUAGGAAUCGGGCGAUGUUGACAAAAUGACGCGCUCGGCACCUCAUG
RNAcentral lists this ribosomal RNA (497 nucleotides) under uncultured Glomeromycotina. Its description in RNAcentral is "partial small subunit ribosomal RNA". It matches the Rfam family "Eukaryotic small subunit ribosomal RNA", at positions 591 to 1092 of the family's 1831-position model. The record is from RNAcentral. Lineage: Eukaryota; Fungi; Glomeromycota.